CCUCCAAGCUCUGCCGGUGCACUCUAGCCAGUACUAUUUAUAGGGAACAGAGCAAACCAAUUGUCAAAAUAUCUCUGAAACUGUCACGUUAGUUAAUAUGGGUAGCCCUAAAUCAUGUCGGGAGGUAAAACGGUACCCUAUAGUCUGCAUGGCUACGGAGCCCUAUACGGACGUCGAGAUUCACAUGACAAGAAAACAAACAAACAAAAAAUCCUGGAAGUUAUUGCCGGAACUGGCGGUCAUCCGAAAGGAGGGGGGCGUUGAGAGGAGACGAGACUGCAAAUCCCGAAUCCUGCAAACUGGAUUGCAGUCAUGCGCAGCCUCUUCACGUCCUCAUGCAAAGUGGCCCACCGCAGCUCCGCAGCUACGACCAGAAUGCUAAAGACAGAAUGCUAAAAGCGGAAUGCUAAAGGCUGGUGCCGCCUGACACAGAGUGACCGCGCCAAAC
Long non-coding RNA from Anguilla anguilla (European eel), 448 nucleotides. RefSeq lists it as uncharacterized. The transcript is spliced from 3 exons. The record is from RefSeq and is a predicted model, not a curated record. Lineage: Eukaryota; Metazoa; Chordata; Actinopteri; Anguilliformes; Anguillidae.